CUCACAUCUCCGUGGGGAAGCAGCAGGAAGGGGCCACUCCUCCACAGACGUCACUUGUGCCCCAUGGAAAGCCCGGGAGGUGCUUGCUGGGCUGAGCUAGUGGCUGUGCCCAGAGUGGUGGGCACAAGGUACCAGUCUUAAUUUCCUGGGGCCUCCCCUUGUCCCACAGGAGGAUACUGAUCUCUCCAACAGAUCCUGGUGCUUCAGCUCUGCCUUUCACCACUUUUUUUCUUGAACCAUGCUUGUAAGGUGGCCUGGUGUGGUCCACCCUAUCCUGUCCCUGCACAGUGUGGCCUGGAGCCCUUGAGGUGCUUCUUUGGAGCCCAGAGCCCCAGCUCCCACCAGCUUUGUCCUCCUGUGAGGCUGACACUCCCUAUCCCCAGGAGAUCCAGGGAGGAGGAGCUGCCUGUGGAAGCUGGAAGGGGCUGCCUGGAGCCCACCUCAGCCACUCUGCCUGGAUGGUGCUGUUGGCAGAGUGGAACCAGGAGCUGAGGCCCAGAGCUGGCACAGGCACCCUGGGGGCUCACACGGAGCUGCCGGCCAAGGAUGCAGGAGGUCCCACAGUGCCAGGCUCUGCACUGGAUAUCCCUGCAGCUUCUCUGAGCACCUGCAGGCAGCUGGACAGGCACUGCACUCCCAGCCCUGUUGGGCUCCAGCUGCCACCUCAAGGAUGGACACCCAGGGUGAACGGAAGAGCCCGAGCCUGUGGUGCCCGAGAGAGACACGUCAGGAGGAAUGACGGGACAGGCCAGCAGUGAUGAGGAGACAGAUGUCUGCCCCAUCUCCUCAGGCUGCUUCCUGCUGGAUCUGCUCCCCACACACACUUCUCAGUGUGGAGAAGACCCCACCACAGCCUGGUCUCACUGGGAUACAGAAAGACUGGGUCAACUGAGAGAUGUUAUAAAAGGUGUUUUAUUGCAUAAUCAGUCUCAUAGAAAGGUGAGAAUUUUAAGGUGUUACAUUCAACACCAUCACAUCAGAGGCCGUCUUAAUUCUAGUUACAAUGUCUUUUAUAAAUUUCUUAGCCAAUCAACAACUUACAUAAAGCUUGCUAGCAUCUUCAUAAACCUAUCACUAAUUGCUUUUUCUCACACCAUUCUACUGCAAUGCAUCUUUUCUUAUCCAAUCAUAUAACACUACAGAAACUUACAUUGCUACAUCUUUAAUUUCUAACUAGCUUUAUAACAAGUUCUACUGCUAGACUUUAAAUUUUUCUAUAUCUAGCUUAAAAUAUUUAUUUGCUUACAUGAGGCAUAUUUCUGCUUGCUUAAAACACAUUUCUGCUUAAACUAUAAACCUCUAUUCUUUCUUCA
Long non-coding RNA from Parus major (Great Tit), 1313 nucleotides. RefSeq lists it as uncharacterized. The record is from RefSeq and is a predicted model, not a curated record. NCBI's taxonomy places the organism in Eukaryota, Metazoa, Chordata, Aves, Passeriformes, Paridae. The transcript has 4 exons.